This 3838-nucleotide long non-coding RNA is filed under the name Citrus sinensis (sweet orange). RNAcentral's name for it is "long non-coding RNA (CSIN_LNC002287)". Lineage: Eukaryota; Viridiplantae; Streptophyta; Magnoliopsida; Sapindales; Rutaceae. The record is from RNAcentral.
UGGAGGUGACUUCACAGGUGGGGGAGGAGAGUGGUAGUAGUAUGGAGGUGGUGGGGAUGGUGAUGGAGGUGGUGGGGAUUUGUAGUAGUACGGUGGUGGAGGCGAGUAGACUGGUGGGGGAGGAGAGUGGUAAUAGUACGGAGGUUGAGGAGAUGGUGACGGAGGUGGUGGGGACUUGUAAUAGUAUGGUGGUGGAGGUGAGUGGACAGGUGGGGGAGGAGAGUGGUAAUAAUAUGGCGGUGGAGGAGAUGGCGACGGAGGUGGUGGGGAUUUGUAGUAGUAGGGCGGGGGAGGAGAGUGGACUGGUGGUGGUGGGGAUUUGUAGUAGUAUGGAGGUGGAGGUGGAGGUGAGUAGACUGGUGGUGGUGGGGAUUUGUAGUAGUAUGGAGGUGGAGGUGAGUGGACUGGUGGUGGCGGGGAUUUGUAGUAGUAGGGUGGAGGAGGAGAGUGGACUGGAGGUGGCGGGGAUUUGUAGUAGUAUGGUGGUGGAGGCGAGUAGACUGGAGGGGGUGGUGACUUGUAGUAGUAAGGUGGCGGAGGUGAGUAAACGGGAGGAGGGGGUGACUUGUAGUAGUAAGGUGGUGGAGGUGAGUAGACUGGUGGUGGAGGUGAUUUGUAAUAGUAUGGGGCAGGUAUGUGGACUGGCGGUGGUGGUGACUUGUAAUAGUAGGGAGGUGGAGGGGAUGGUGAAGGUGGUGGUGGAGACUUGUAGUAGUAUGGCGGUGGGGGUGAAUAGACUGGUGGUGGAGGUGAUUUAUAAUAGUAUGGAGGUGGAGGAGAUGGCGAUGGAGGUGGCGGAGAUUUAUAGUAGUAAGGUGGUGGAGGAGAGUGGACUGGUGGUGGAGGUGAUUUGUAAUAGUAUGGCGGUGGAGGAGAGUAGACUGGUGGUGGAGGUGAUUUAUAGUAGUAUGGCGGUGGUGGUGAGUGGACAGGUGGUGGAGGUGACUUGUAGUAAUACGGUGGAGGAGAAGAAUAGACCGGUGGUGGUGGAGAUUUAUAAUAGUAAGGUGGUGUCGGAUACUUUAUUGGAGGUGGAGGGGAUUUGUAAUAAUAGGGUGGUGGUGGUGAGGGUGAAGGAGGUGGUGGAGAUUUAUAGUAAUAUGGUGGUGGAGGUGAGUGGACUGGAGGUGGUGGAGAUUUGUAGUAGUAUGGUGGAGGUGAGUAGACAGGUGGGGGAGGAGACUUGUAAUAAUAUGGUGGUGGAGGUGAGUAGACCGGUGGUGGUGGGGAUUUAUAGUAGUAUGGUGGUGGUGAAUAAACCGGUGGUGGAGGAGACUUGUAGUAGUACGGUGGGGGAUGUGAAUAGACUGGUGGAGGUGGAGACUUAUAAUAGUAUGGGGGAGGAGAGUAAGUUGGUGGCGGUGGAGACUUAUAGUAAUAUGGUGAUGGAGAUGGUGGUGGCGGAGACUUAUAGUAAUAAGGCGACGGUGGGUAUUUUACAGGAGGUGGGGGAGAUUUAUAAUAAUAAGGUGGUGGGUAUUUCACAGGAGGUGGUGGAGACUUGUAAUAAUAUGGUGGAGGUGGAGGAGACUUAUAAAUGUAAGUUGGUGGUGGUGGAGGCGGUGACUUGUAGUAAUAAGGAGCGGGGGUAGGCUCAGGCUUGGGCUUCUCACAUUCCUCAUAAGGAGUCUUAGGAGCAUAAGCAAAUGGCUUGGCGUAGAGCACAACUUCAUAAUCAGUCUUCGACUUGACUUUAAGUUUGGCUCCCUUUUUACCCCAGUGCAAGUCAGUGGGAAUGUUGCAUGGUGAACCCUUUGGUGCCAUAUGGAGCUUGGCCUUGCAUGCUUUAGCUCCAUAUUUGCCGUAAUCAAAACCUUCGACUGUGAUGCUGUAUUUGCCGUUGAUCUUCGUCUUUCCAUAUGCCUUGAUUUUCUUGUCACCAACAUCGCAUGUCACUUCAACUACAGCACCUGUUACAUGAAUGUGUCAAUUUUGUCAGCAUCAUUUGUUGCACAAGUCUAGUUACUAGGGCAUUCUAAUUAGUCACUCCCCCACCAACUACAAUAACUAAAUUUGUCCUAUCUCGUUAAUAUAUUGCAAAAAUUAUUUAUAUAUGAUUCUAUGUUAACACAAUUUGCCAAAUUUUAAAAUAAUUGAGGAAGCAUCAGCCACUAACAAUUUACACCCUGUUCUAUUCUGUACAGUAAAUACGCUUAUAUCCUCUCUGUUUCGCGAUUCACAAAUUAACCCAUCAAUUUAAUACAGACACGUGUAAAUAAAAUCAAUUUAAUUCUCUAAGACAUGAUCCAAUAAUAUCAUUUUUCAAAAUAGCAUUAGGUCAAAAUUGUAAUAAUAACCACAUUACUUGUAGUCAACACUACACCAUCCCCAAAGCAAUAAUAGCGACAUGAUAAUCCAAUGGCCAAAAUAGCCAAAUUUUACAUAUUUUAUUCUCUUUGAACCGAUUGGUUCUUUUUUUCUUUUAAAUGCUAAUUAAAAGUCAUUGAAUUAAAAUCAAGAAAACGAACCAUGUAAAAGCUUGUUGACAUGUACUCUUAAUUUAGGGGAAAAUUAAUGAGCAAUAAUUGAUAUUAAAAAUUAAUUAAUGUUCCAAGAAAACAAAUGUACCUUUAAGAUGUUUCUUGUCAUGUGACUUCUCCGGAUACUCCCAGUCGUAACAUCUGAAACAGUAUACUUUUCCAACAACCUUCACCACAAAAGUGUGGGGAUGUGGAUGAGGGUAUGGGGCAGGUGGUGGCGGAGAAUGGUAGUAGUACGGCGGUGAGACGUAAUGCGUAGGUGGUGGAGGAGACUUAUAGUAGUAAGGAGGUGGUGGAUACUUAACUGGGGGAGGUGGAGAUUUGUAAUAGUAUGGAGGAUGUGGUAAAGGAGAUGGUGGUGGCGGAGACUUGUAAUAGUAUGGUGGUGGAGGAUACGGUGAUGGUGGUGGUGGAGAUUUAUAGUAGUAGGGUGGUGGAGGAUAUUUCACGGGAGGUGGUGGAGACUUGUAGUAGUAAGGUGGUGGUGGAGAUUUCUCGGGCGGGGGUGGAGACUUGUAGUAGUAAGGUGGGGGUAGAUGUUUUUCGGGUGGUGGGGGAGACUUGUAGUAGUAAGGUGGGGGUGGAGAUUUUUCAGGUGGUGGGGGAGACUUGUAGUAGUACGGUGGUGGUGGAGAUUUCUCGGGUGGUGGAGGAGACUUGUAGUAGUAAGGUGGAGGUGGUGAAGGAGAUGGUGGUGGGGGAGACUUGUAGUAGUAAUGUGGGGAUGGAUAUUUUUCAGGUGGCGGGGGGGACUUGUAGUAGUAUGGUGGAGGUGGAGACUUUUCGGGCGGUGGAGGAGACUUGUAGUAGUAUGGUAUGGUGGAGGUGGAGACUUUUCGGGUGGUGGGGGAGACUUGUAGUAGUAAGGUGGGGGUGGUGGUGAUUUCUCAGGCGGUGGAGGAGACUCAUAGUAGUAAGGCGGAGGUGGAGACUUUUCGGGCGGUGGAGGAGACUUGUAAUAAUAAGGUGGUGGUGGAGAUUUUUCGGGUGGGGGAGGUGACUUGUACUCAUAAGGUGGUGGAGGAUAUUUUUCGGGUGGUGGAGGUGACUUGUACUCGUAAGGUGGUGGCGGAGAUUUUUCGGGUGGUGGAGGUGACUUGUACUCAUAAGGUGGAGAUUUUUCAGGUGGUGGUGGUGACUUAUACUCAUAAGGUGGAGAUUUUUCAGGUGGUGGUGGUGAUUUAUAUUCAUAAGGUGGGGGUGGUGGAGAAGCAUAAGAGUAGGCAUCAGCAGAUACUGAAACUACAUUACUUGAAACAACAACUAUAAUGGCCAGCAAUGCCACUACAAAAUGGGGCCAAAACUGACCCGGAGGCGGGUUUCCGCCCGGAAUCGCCAUGAUUACCGGAACAAUGACC